This 663-nucleotide ribosomal RNA is filed under the name Escherichia coli. Its description in RNAcentral is "partial 23S ribosomal RNA". It matches the Rfam family "Bacterial large subunit ribosomal RNA", at positions 1978 to 2640 of the family's 2925-position model. Lineage: Bacteria; Pseudomonadati; Pseudomonadota; Gammaproteobacteria; Enterobacterales; Enterobacteriaceae. The record is from RNAcentral.
AAGUUCCGACCUGCACGAAUGGCGUAAUGAUGGCCAGGCUGUCUCCACCCGAGACUCAGUGAAAUUGAACUCGCUGUGAAGAUGCAGUGUACCCGCGGCAAGACGGAAAGACCCCGUGAACCUUUACUAUAGCUUGACACUGAACAUUGAGCCUUGAUGUGUAGGAUAGGUGGGAGGCUUUGAAGUGUGGACGCCAGUCUGCAUGGAGCCGACCUUGAAAUACCACCCUUUAAUGUUUGAUGUUCUAACGUUGACCCGUAAUCCGGGUUGCGGACAGUGUCUGGUGGGUAGUUUGACUGGGGCGGUCUCCUCCUAAAGAGUAACGGAGGAGCACGAAGGUUGGCUAAUCCUGGUCGGACAUCAGGAGGUUAGUGCAAUGGCAUAAGCCAGCUUGACUGCGAGCGUGACGGCGCGAGCAGGUGCGAAAGCAGGUCAUAGUGAUCCGGUGGUUCUGAAUGGAAGGGCCAUCGCUCAACGGAUAAAAGGUACUCCGGGGAUAACAGGCUGAUACCGCCCAAGAGUUCAUAUCGACGGCGGUGUUUGGCACCUCGAUGUCGGCUCAUCACAUCCUGGGGCUGAAGUAGGUCCCAAGGGUAUGGCUGUUCGCCAUUUAAAGUGGUACGCGAGCUGGGUUUAGAACGUCGUGAGACAGUUCGGUCCCUA